This 1696-nucleotide long non-coding RNA is filed under the name Equus asinus (donkey). RNAcentral describes it as "lncRNA (ENSEASG00005036195.1)". The record is from RNAcentral. Lineage: Eukaryota; Metazoa; Chordata; Mammalia; Perissodactyla; Equidae.
CUAUUUAUGGUCUUUUUUUCCCCACUUAAAUAAGUACCUUCAGCAUUUCUUGUAGAACUGGUUUCUUGGUGAUAAACUCCUUUAAUCGUUGCUUGUCUGGGAAGCUCUUUAUCUCUCCUUCCAUUCUGAAUGACAACCUUGCUGGAUAGAGUAUUCUUGGCUGCAGGUUUUUUCCUUUUAGCACUUUAAAUAUGUGGUGCCAUUCUCUUCCUGCCUGUAGGGUCUCAGCUGAGAAGUCCACUGAUAGCCUGAUGGGCUUGCCUUUAUAUGUCACUUGUGGCCUUUCUCUUGCUGCUUUUAGGAUUCUCUCUUUAUCUUUAAUUUUGGACAUUUUAAUUAUAAUGUGUCUUGGUGUGGGCCUCUUUGGGUUUAUCUUGUUUGGAGCUCUCUGUGCUUCCUCAACUUGGAUCUCUGUUUCCUUCCUCAGGUUAGGAAAAUUUUUAUCUAUUAUUUCUUCAAAUAAAUUUUCUGCCCCUUUGUCUCUCUCUUCUCCUUCUGGGACACCUAUAAUCUGAAUAUUAGCAUGCUUGAUAUUGUCCCGGAUUUCCCUUAGAGUGCUCUCAUUCUGUCUAAUUCUUUUUUCUUUUUUCUGUUCUGCUUGGGUGAUUUCCUCUAGUCUUUUGUCUAGCUUGCUGAUCCAUUCUUCUGCAUCCUCUACUCUGCUAUUGAGUCCCUCCAGUGAAUUUUUCAUUUCCAGUAUUGUAUUCUUCAUUUCUAAUUGGCUUUUUUUGUAUCUUCCAGUUCUUUGUUGAUGAGCUCACUGUGUUCAUCCAUUCUUCUCCCAAUAUCUGUGAGCAUCCUCAUGAUAUUUUAUUUGAACUCUUUGUCGAGUAGGUCAAUUGUUUCUGUUUCAUUUAGUCCUUUUUCUGGGGUUUUGUCCUGUUCCCUUGCUUGGAAAGUAUUCCUUUGUCUCCUCGUUAUGCCUCUUUCUCUGUGCUUCUUUCUAUGUAUUAGCUGAGUUGGCUAUGUCUCCUGAUCUUGGAGAAGUGGCCUUAUGUAUGAGAUGCCUUAUGAGGACCAGCUGUGUGCUUCCCUCUCAUCACCAGUCCAGAAGAUCCAGGAAUGACCCCUUUGUGGGCUACUUGUGCCCUUCUGCUGUGGCAGGGUUGCUCCCACUGCAGGUACCCAGGGAGUCUAGUCUUUCCUUCCCUGGCCGGCUGUUUGUAAAUCUGGUUUGGGGAGCCUCAGCACUGUUUGCUACAAAGUCAUCAGCACACUCCUAUUGCAGUUUUCCUCUUAAUUGGGUUGGUACCCAGUGUAGCUGGUUGCUAGGCUCAGGGGCUUACAGUUGUGAUAGGCCUCAGGCCUAUAGGCUAUUGUCAGUUCUCUUAGGAGUGCAGCUGAGUGGGGCUGGCCCUUGGCCCAGGGGCACUCAAUUGUUUCAGGCUUUGGAAGGUGGGGCUGAUCCUUUUUAUGGCUAUUUGUGAAGUACAGGUCUUCUGCUGCUGAUAAGCCUCACCCCCAACAUACACCAUCAACACAGUCCUGGUCCUGCACACUUCUCAACCCCCUGGAGCAUACCCCGAUGCUGCACUGCAGAGGCCCCCACCUCUGCCCCAAUGCCCCCCACAGUUCACCUGAUCCUCACACAGACCCUGCCCCACAGAGGCAGACACCCUUGCCUGCCUGUAGAGGACCAAGGCACCCAGUCAAUGCAGGCUGAAAAGUAGCCUGAGGGCUUGCUGUUAGGUGAGGC